Molecule: ribosomal RNA, 484 nt
Filed under: uncultured bacterium
Lineage: Bacteria
Description: bacterial SSU rRNA
Rfam family: Bacterial small subunit ribosomal RNA
Source: RNAcentral
GAUGAACGCUAGCGGGAGGCUUAAUACAUGCAAGUCGAACGGGAUUCAGAGUAGCAAUACUUUGAUGAGAGUGGCGCACGGGUGCGUAACGCGUAUGCAACCUACCUUUAACAGGUGAAUAGCCCCGAGAAAUCGGGAUUAAUACACCGUAACAUUGCGAGAUGGCAUCAUUUUGCAAUUAGAGAUUUAUCGGUUAAAGAUGGGCAUGCGUGACAUUAGCUAGUUGGUGAGGUAACGGCUCACCAAGGCCACGAUGUCUAGGGGUCCUGAGAGGGUUAUCCCCCACACUGGUACUGAGACACGGACCAGACUCCUACGGGAGGCAGCAGUAAGGAAUAUUGGUCAAUGGGCGCAAGCCUGAACCAGCCAUGCCGCGUGCAGGAAGACGGCCCUAUGGGUUGUAAACUGCUUUUGUCAGGGAAUAAACCUAUCUACGUGUAGAUAGCUGAAGGUACCUGAAGAAUAAGCAUCGGCUAACUCCGUG